UGGGGAAUAUUGGACAAUGGGCGCAAGCCUGAUCCAGCCAUGCCGCGUGAGUGAUGAAGGCCCUAUGGUUGUAAAGCUCUUUCACCGGUGAAGAUAAUGACGGUAACCGGAGAAGAAGCCCCGGCUAACUUCGUGCCAGCAGCCGCGGUAAUACGAAGGGGGCUAGCGUUGUUCGGAUUUACUGGGCGUAAAGCGCACGUAGGCGGACUAUUAAGUCAGGGGUGAAAUCCCGGGGCUCACCCCCGGAACUGCCUUUGAUACUGGUAGUCUUGAGUUCGAGAGAGGUGAGUGGAAUUCCGGGUGUAGAGGUGAAAUUCGUAGAUAUUCGGAGGAACACCAGUGGCGAAGGCGGCUCACUGGCUCGAUACUGACGCUGAGGUGCGAAAGCGUGGGGAGCAAACAGG
This 404-nucleotide ribosomal RNA is filed under the name Actinomycetes bacterium. RNAcentral's name for it is "Actinobacteria bacterium partial 16S ribosomal RNA". It matches the Rfam family "Bacterial small subunit ribosomal RNA", at positions 355 to 776 of the family's 1533-position model. Lineage: Bacteria; Bacillati; Actinomycetota; Actinomycetes. The record is from RNAcentral.